CUUGCAGGGUCAAAAAGAGCUUAUUUUUCAAAUGAUCAAGUGAGUGGGCCUUUUGUCAUGGAGGUGUCCUGAAGCUCAGAUCAGCACUGCCUGGGUUCAUGAUGUAUCUCUCUUGCUGACAGUACACAAAUUCAUGGUCUGGUCAGGAUCAAUUUCUCCAGAUGAUGUCACAACUACACAAGUUUUGCAUCUUCUAUUGUCUGGAUCUACGUGAAUAUAAAGUCAGCAGGGAAAUAAUAAGAACCGCAUCAUAUCCUGGAGUAAAGGAAGACUUUGCAAGUCACACAUAGACUUCUAGCUGAAUCUUUAUAAAGUUGGUGGCUGAAGGUCAGAUUUGUUUAUUCAGAAGGUACAUUUCUCUGUAAAAACCUUGCUCUUAACCUCUGUACUAUCUAUCAAUCACAUGAUCAAGCUGCUAGUUUGUCAGGACCGUGUCUAUCUUUCACAUGAUACUCAAAUCUAGAGUUCCAUUUUUUGAGUCAAAGUUGAGUUCAAAUCUCUUCUUUUCUACUUGCUGUAUCAUUGUGGACAAAUUACUUAAGUUUUAUAGGAUUAGAUUUGCUUGUCUGUAAAAUGGAGAUAAUAGUAGUACCAACUCCCUAUGUUGUUAUCAGGAUUAAAUGAGAUAAUGCAUGCAUAAUGCUUAGCACAGUACUUGGGGGCAGGAUGCCUCUAAUAAAUGAUAGCUGUUGCUUUUAUAACUUGUAGUAAUAGGCCUGUCUGUCUAAGUGAUCAAAAGGUUUUUAAGUAAUUGUUUUAAGCUACUUUUAACCACAUUUUUCAUGUAACACCUUAUUUUUCAUGUAAUCCUUGAUAAAGCCUCUUGGAUUUUUCCUGCAAAUAUGUCUUUUUGCAAUAUUUGUUUAUUCAGUGGGAUUAGUCAAUCAAUAUGGCCAUUAUUUCUGAUUUUUCUUUCUCUGAGGCUUAGCAUAGUGUUUUUUUUUUUUUUUCAGGCUUCGGUCCUGCUGAUUUGUGAUAAUAUGCAUGACUUUCUUAACUUCAUCUUUGUCUAUUUUUUUUUGACAAAGUUUUUCGUAGCAACAGCUGGAAUAAUACCACACAGCUCAAACAGAAAGUCUCAGGCUUCAUUAUUUCCCCACAAUCACCAUGUGACAAUUCGAAUCUCUGUAAGGCAGAGCUUUGGGGGAAGAUUAGAAACUGAAAUGAAAGGCAAAUUUCUAGCUGGAAUUUAGAUCAAAGAAGAUAUUAUCCUGGUAGGCUUGCUGUGUACAAGAGAGAGCCAUGGGGCUUCUCACUGACCAGCUUGACCACAAUAAUUCUUAAAGACUCUUCAAUGAUACUUUGCAGUUUAUACUGGUAUAUGUUAUUAAAGGAUUGUACAUCAAGGAGGAAUACUAUGCUAAUGUAAAAAUCGGGUUCUGGUGGCAUUCAUGCUGUAGAGUAAAAUCAAUCCACAUAAAUAUAUUGAACCUAUAUUCAAGGAUCCAUUCUGGCUGUUCCAACAAAGAUUUAUUGAGCCCCUACAGUAAGUGUGAAAUGGAGAUUCAUCAAACUUUCUUUGUGUCUUAAAAGCAAGGGGAGAUUUACACUUUGUGUGAGAUAUGGACAAUAUAUUGAGUGAGG
Molecule: long non-coding RNA, 1584 nt
Filed under: Homo sapiens (human)
Lineage: Eukaryota; Metazoa; Chordata; Mammalia; Primates; Hominidae
Description: HSALNT0046070
Source: RNAcentral